Trichonephila clavata is the source of this 73-nucleotide non-coding RNA. NCBI's taxonomy places the organism in Eukaryota, Metazoa, Arthropoda, Arachnida, Araneae, Nephilidae. The record is from the annotation of a GenBank genome assembly.
GUCCCUGUAGCGCAAUGGAUAGCGCGUCGGACUUCUAAUCCAAAGGUCGUGGGUUUGAAUCCCACCAGGGAUG